AGAGUUUGAUCAUGGCUCAGAUUGAACGCUGGCGGCAGGCUUAACACAUGCAAGUCGAACGGUAACGGGAAGGGAGCUUGCUUUCUUUGCCGACGAGUGGCGGACGGGUGAGUAAUGCUUGGGAAUCUGGCUUAUGGAGGGGGAUAACUACGGGAAACUGUAGCUAAUACCGCGUAAUAUCUAUGGAUUAAAGGGUGGGACUUUCGGGCCACCUGCCAUAAGAUGAGCCCAAGUGGGAUUAGGUAGUUGGUUAGGUAAAGGCUGACCAAGCCGACGAUCUCUAGCUGGUCUGAGAGGAUGACCAGCCACACUGGAACUGAGACACGGUCCAGACUCCUACGGGAGGCAGCAGUGGGGAAUAUUGCACAAUGGGGGGAACCCUGAUGCAGCCAUGCCGCGUGAAUGAAGAAGGCCUUCGGGUUGUAAAGUUCUUUCGGUAGCGAGGAAGGUAUCAAAUUUAAUAGAUUUGGUAAUUGACGUUAACUACAGAAGAAGCACCGGCUAACUCCGUGCCAGCAGCCGCGGUAAUACGGAGGGUGCGAGCGUUAAUCGGAAUAACUGGGCGUAAAGGGCACGCAGGCGGUUGAUUAAGUGAGAUGUGAAAGCCCCGGGCUUAACCUGGGAAUUGCAUUUCAUACUGGUCAACUAGAGUACUUUAGGGAGGGGUAGAAUUCCACGUGUAGCGGUGAAAUGCGUAGAGAUGUGGAGGAAUACCGAAGGCGAAGGCAGCCCCUUGGGAAUGUACUGACGCUCAUGUGCGAAAGCGUGGGGAGCAAACAGGAUUAGAUACCCUGGUAGUCCACGCUGUAAACGCUG
Molecule: ribosomal RNA, 816 nt
Filed under: Actinobacillus pleuropneumoniae serovar 6 str. Femo
Lineage: Bacteria; Pseudomonadati; Pseudomonadota; Gammaproteobacteria; Pasteurellales; Pasteurellaceae
Description: bacterial SSU rRNA
Rfam family: Bacterial small subunit ribosomal RNA
Source: RNAcentral